GCCACGUGGCCAUACCCACCGCAAGUAAAACAGCCACCACCAGCGGCUCCGCCACCACCACUGCCCUGACGGCAAUCUCUAGCCAUGUGCCCAGGCUCGCCGCAACUAUAGCACCCAUCACCACCGGAACCGCCCCCAUUCCUCCGGUCACCGCCUCUCCAUCCACCGCUAAAUCCAGAACCACCACCACCUCCGCCACGGCCACCAGAGUGACCGAAGCUCUCCUUCUUGUUACCGAUCAACGGCGCACCGUCAGGGCCUGUCACAUCGAUGGCCUUGGUCUUGCCGUCAUCGCCGAAGUCGAUGAGGAACUCGACGGACUCACCCUCCGCGACGGUGCGGAAUCCGUCGGAUCUGAUCGAGGACUGGUGGACGAAGAGGUCCUCGCCUCCGGCGUCGGGGGUGAUGAAGCCGUAGCCCUUGACGUCGUUGAACCACCGCACCUUCCCGGUCGAUCUCUCCUCAGCCAUCGUAAAAGGUUAAAAGUUCCGAUAUGGA
This 498-nucleotide long non-coding RNA is filed under the name Malus domestica (apple). RNAcentral describes it as "long non-coding RNA (MDOM_LNC001524)". Lineage: Eukaryota; Viridiplantae; Streptophyta; Magnoliopsida; Rosales; Rosaceae. The record is from RNAcentral.